RNAcentral lists this ribosomal RNA (626 nucleotides) under uncultured bacterium. RNAcentral describes it as "bacterial SSU rRNA". It matches the Rfam family "Bacterial small subunit ribosomal RNA", at positions 194 to 808 of the family's 1533-position model. The record is from RNAcentral.
GGGAGGCUGAAAGACGGAGCAAUCUGUCACUGAGGGAUGGGCCUGCGGCGCAUUAGCUGGUUGGCGGGGUAACGGCCCACCAAGGCGACGAUGCGUAGCCGACCUGAGAGGGUGAACGGCCACACUGGGACUGAGACACGGCCCAGACUCCUACGGGAGGCAGCAGUAGGGAAUCUUCCGCAAUGGGCGAAAGCCUGACGGAGCAACGCCGCGUGAGUGAGGAAGGUUUUCGGAUCGUAAAGUUCUGUUGCCAGGGAAGAACGUUCUUAAGAGUAACUGCUUAAGAAGUGACGGUACCUGAGACGAAAGCCCCGGCUAACUACGUGCCAGCAGCCGCGGUAAUACGUAGGGGGCAAGCGUUGUCCGGAAUUAUUGGGCGUAAAGCGCGCGCAGGCUGCGGUUUAAGUCCGGUGUUUAAACCAUGGGCUCAACCCAUGGUCGCACCGGAAACUGGACGGCUUGAGUACAGAAGAGGACAGUGCAAUUCCACGUGUAACGAUGAAAUGCGUACAGAUGUGGAGGAACACCAGUGGCGAAUGCGACUUUCUCGCCUGUGACUGACGCUCAUGCUCGGAAGCGUGUGGAGCAUACAGGAUUAGAUACCCUGGGAAUCCACGCCGUAAACG